CCCGCAUUUGUUUCCGGCGGUAAAUCUAUAUUUGGCUAAUCGAACCGACGCUACUGCACACCGCGCCGUUUCCGCUGAUUUUUCGGAAGCCGCGACCAAAAGAUCGCCGUUUCGACCUUUCACGCUUUCUGUCUUCCGUUAGUCAACAAACUUUUUCAACGUCACGUCGUUAUGAUCGAUUGUGACAGAAUUAAGGUUAUGUUUUACUUUUGUCGUUGUGGAACGUAUUAGUAACAUACAAGAGAGAUUUUAUAUAUUUUUUAGAUUACUCUGGUAUUUGGCAAAUUUUGUUAAAGACUAGGAUUAACGAAAGGUGUUUAAUGGAGACAGAAACAUUAGGAACUGCGGUAAUGAAUAUUUUCAAUGUAAAUUGCUUGAAUGCCUGAGAUUAUUCUUUAUGUGUAAUCUCGAGAGACGUGUAAUCCCCGUGGAAUCGGUAACUGAGCCGCUCUUACGGUCGAUGCACAAACUAGAUCGACGAUACUUAAACGGUAAAGUAUCCUAAUCCUCGUGAAAUGCGCAGAGGCUAAUGAUCACAUGCAGCCUGCAGUGUACAUCACAAUAAACUGGAUAUGGACAAAUAAUGCCUUCAUUGACAGCUUUUCACUAACUGUUCCUAGCAGUUCUUUAAGGUAUAUAUACAUAUCAUAAAUCAACAGCAAAAUUAAAUUAACUACUAUAAAACGUUUGUCGUAAUAAUCGAUUCUUUCUUUUAAAUGUUUACAUAAAAUUCGUCCAUGUAUUUUACGAUGAUUUGUAUGCCUGUUUCCUAAUUGCGUAAGAAGUUACUAUUCCAACGUUUAGAGGUAAUACAAUGUCAGGAAUAAGUGAGAACACAACGAUACAGCGUAACUUGUAAAUAGACAGUGGUGACAAAAAGGAUAUUUUAAAAGGAAAAUUCCUGACACAGACAUAAGAUCGCGAGACAUUGGUCGUCGUGGGACAAGCUACACCGCGGACGGUUACGUCGGUUUACGGCUGUUUUAACGAGCGCUGUUGCACGCGACUCAGCACUAAACCAGCCUUACAAAACGCAACCACACUAGUUUAACGUUUUACGGUCGAAUUUAUUAUCUGUUACCUCCUUAUAUGACGGUACAAUAACAAUAAUUGUCAGUUUUAAUUCGAUCGUAAAUCAACGGAAAAGAAUUUGCACCGUUUCACACGGACCACACGACGAGGAAUAUCGGGCCAUCUGUCGUCACUUUACUGAAAUACUUUCUGCUCGCGAAACUUUCGGUGCUGCUUGACCGUGUCAGCCAUUGUUUGGUGUUAACGCCAAGUGAUCGUAGAUGGUGCUAGUAGCGUUCAAAAUGCCGUUCACUGGUAUUACCCGCAUUUUACGAUUCAUCUUAUACCUCUGUUACUGCAUUUUAUGUUAUUUCUUGCUCUUACUUUUGCUCCGAUUGUUGUCAUCCCGUAAAGAUACAAUUUCGUUUCUUGGGAUGGAUAAAACAAUUGUAUUCAUAUUUCUUUUAAUCAUUUGUUUCCCAAUAUUGCAAACAUUUAUUUACUUAAUAGACAUUUGAAAGAGGUUGUGUUCAUGGAUUUCAAAAUUCGUGGUCUUAGAAAAUGGGGAUUAAUAUUGGUAUAUGUAGGUUUAUUAUCAAAUAUUUCUUUUUAUAGAUAAUGUUAUAAUUUUAUAAAUACGUAUGUACGUACUUUGUUGUAUAUGUACGCGCAUUCAUAAUUUGCUUCCCUCCAUUUAUCUUUCAAGAAUCGUUGGCGUUACUAUCCGUCGAUUAGAUUCUUAAUGUAUCGCGUCUAGUUUGAGAUUUCAUUUGUGAGGUGGCGCCACAGUAUGCUGCGGUACAUAGUGAUUUUUUAAUUUCCACUGUUUAGAAUUCUAGUAACACUACGGUCUAAUCGAUGUCCAAUAAAAUUUCCAAUUCCGACAUUCAAAACUAAUAGUUUCCUUCGUAUCGUUUAAAAAUCAAUUUCUCGAUAACACGUAGUCUCAACAAUUUUAUCUUAUUCGUUCGUUAUAUCAUCUUCUAACUUAUUCGUCAUGUCGGGUUGGUAACUAAGUGAAGGCGGAUUUUAUCAAUACCACCUAAUGACAAAAUCCCCAAUCACUUGGUUGCCAACACAAUAUUUAUGCUUAUUGCACGUAUUAAAUACCACUUAUACGUAAUAGAAAACUAAUUUAUCGUCUAUCGCAUAGCUAGAUCCAUCGAUCAAACAACGAUCAUCGAACAAACAUAAAGUGUCUGGUAAAAUAGAGAACAGUAAAUGUAGAAGACCGUAAGCGUGACAGAUGUCGGAAGGCGCGAAAAGUUAAUCCAGUUCAAUGGGCUCUUUUGAUUUUUACGAGCGGCGAAGUAAGUGGGGUCUCGUGCCGUUUUCAUCAACACAAAAUCAACGAUGUUUCUAUGGGUAGCGGCACUGAAAAGACGAAACGAGUCAAACGUAUCUGGCAAUGUCAUCAGUUACAUUUAUGAGGCCGUCAAGGAUAAAGUGAGCACCUUGAGGUUGCAUCAUCGUCACUUUAAAUCCCGUUUACCCGCUCGUAAAAGUCUUUGACGACUUUGCCGGAGAGCUGCCGGUACAGCACGGCCAACUUGCCUGCCAUAAACUCAGAAAAGGAACUUCCCCUGUUUCCCCACUUCUGCUCAUCGGUGUUUGUCUGGAUACCUAGGUGAAAAAGGGCUAAACGUUUACUUAUCCGCUUGCCGAUAAUCGUCCCUCGUUAUUCCGAUUGAAGUAACAAUGCGAAUGCUGAAAACUGAUGAACUGUUUGUGGUUAUAGCACACUAUAGUUUACUAUGUUUCUUAUUAUGGCAUCUUCUACUGCGACACUUUAGAUGGCUUAAUCUACGGUUAGAUACGUUUGAUGGAGGUUAGGUUGGGUUGAUUAUCUUUUUAGGGAAUUUUUCAAGAGGAAGCUAUAACGUGAAAAAUAAUUCUAUUGCGAAAUACUUUUUAACCCUUCGCACUGGGAAUUUUAUUUCAAUUUCGUUACCAGCAGCUGUCAACGCCUUUAAGUGUUUUAUUUGAAAUUUACUUUAAGUAAAAAAUAAGACAAUUUAAAUAAAUAAAGGAGGAAACAAAUUCACUUUACAACUUGUCCAGCUGGACAUUUGGUAAAUUUUGCCAACUUAAUUGCCAAAUAACACGUGGAUGACUACCCCCAGCAAGAUACCAUCUUCAGGAUGCAAUUCUGCUUUUAUUUCGCACGUUUCUAGAAAAAAGCCGCGACUGAAAGAAUGUCGAGUGGGUCUCGACAAAGCUCCUCGGAUAAAAACUGAUGUCGAGUCAUACUCGACAUGGCAGUGCAAAGGCGUAGACAACGAGGGAUGAUUACUUGUAAGAGGAAAUUCUGCCAUCAAAGUUCUCAAGAAACAUUUCCAUUCUUCAUCCAAUAAAAUCCCAGUUAAUAAUUGCUCGCUGUUAUUUAAAGCUACACUUCCAUUCUUCUGGAAACAUUUAAUCAAAGCGUAGAUGACAAAGGAUGAUUAUUUGUAAGAGGAAAUUCCGCCAUCAAAGUUCUCAAGAAACAUUUCUAUUUUUCACCCAAUGAACCUACCAAUAGAAUCGCAAUUAAUAAUUGCUCGAUGUUGUUUACGAUUAUUAAACAAUAUUUUAAGCUGUCGUUUAUACGGAAAUAGUUGUCCUAGAAACCAAAAGUUCUUUUAACAAUGAGUACACGAUCGUGCGCUUUACAACCUCAACUAAUGCCAUUCGACUAUCUACGGUAACACGGUGUUCGUUACGGGCUCAGCAAACUCGUUCAUGAAUUGGAAAUGUUCUACAGUGGUAGCGAAAGAAGUCAUAAAACGAAUAAAACCGCUGUGUAUCGGAAUAUCAUCGUAUCAGCACCGCAGCCACACGUAUGCUACCCGGUACACACUGUAUAAGUCAACAAAAACAUUUUCUACCUUUAUAUUUGAUCGUUCGGCCGGUCGCCAAACCUUUUGUUAUUGCGUUUUUCAUCGUUAUCUUUUUCGAAAAAAAAAAAAAGGAACCGAGGAACAAAACAAAUUUUGUAACGUGACUACGUAGAUACAAUUUUUAUUUCGGAACACAGACGUUCGAAUGUUACUCUCCGUACAUUUUUCUGUAUAAAAAUUACACCUGAAAGAGAGCGAUUUUUAUAUUUAGUUUAAAACGAUUGCUCCGAGAUAAUUUGAUUAAAAUUGUCGCAUAUCUUUCACGUAUACAGAUAUUGCGAAAAUACAAAAAAUAUUGCGCUUAGUUGCCAAUCGUAGAUCAUCAAACGGUAGAUGCUUGUUGAAUUUGCAUUGAAAAAUGACUAACUGACGAUACAAGAGACGUUCGAAUGCAGAAGAUUUAAUACGUUUGCUCAGUGUUAGAGCUCAUUGUUACGUUUCAUUGUACGAUCUCUUAGACGAACAGAAACACUUUCCUGCCAAACAACAGAUUAUUUUCAACAAUACAUUGUGAUGUUUCCCGUUGGCGCUAUAAAAUAAUAUUUCACAAAAGGCGACUGUAACGUUGCUCGAUCAACGUGACAGCUUCAUUGGCAUUAAGCCGCGUUUACAUCAACCGUAUUACGAGCUGUUUAUUAGGCACGGUAGAGACGUAUCCAUAGUAAUAGUCGGAUCGAUUGUUGGAACUUUCCCACAGGAGAUAGCCGUGAAGUAGGGAAACUCUGACCUGACACAGGGCUGUCACCCUUCGGCAAACGAGUCGACGUAUCAGCUUUCUCCGCGCCAGUAUAUUCGCAACACUGUGUCGCCAUAGUAAAUCUUAGAUCUGACGUUUGGUAGAUGACACGCUCAGGAUUUUCUUUUCGCCCCUUAAGAAGAGCGAAGAGGAGAGGUCCGUGAAACGUUGCGUGGCGCGUUAUUAAGGUCAGCCACCUGCCGCUCGAUGGAGCUCACUUCAGGGAUGAACACUAUUAUACCCCUCUGUGCUAUAGAUAUAGGUAACGGUGAACGUAAAGCAAAAAGAAAAAAAGAAAAGAAAAAAGGGGAAAGAAAGGUAGGAAAAAAAAAUUGGAAGAAAAGAAAGAGGAAAAGGACGAAGAAUAAGUGGAAGAGGGAUGCAGCGACGGCGGAUGGGGUGAACAAAGAAAAUAAGAGAUGCGAAACGACGACGCGGCGGAGAUGGUACAGGAAGAGGCGAAGAUGAAGCGAGACGGAACGACGAGGAAGGAGAGAAGACAAGCGGCUGGCCUCGGGACCGACGAAGAUGCAAGAGUCCCGGGACUCCUGCAGCCAGAGAAGAGAAUAAAGGAAAAGCGAGAAAAAUGUGUCUAACGUGGCAGAGGCAAUUCUUCAGCCAGAGUUGCCGCCUUAAUGCUCGUUGGAGAAAGGCGAUUGGUUCUCGAGAAGAGCCCGUGGGAAAGAUGGCCGCCAUUUCCCUCCAACCACCCGUGCAAGUGUCCCCCCCUCUUCCACCUACUCAUCUGCUCUCUGUUCCUCUUCCGUUGUCCGUGGCGGCGACCUACGGAAAGAAACCCCGUUCGUGGAAUAAAGGGGGAGAAACACGCUCGAAGACUCUUAUUCUUAUUAACUGUUUAAUCUUUCCACGUGACGUACGGCAGGCAUUAAGCCGCGCGCGGAUCUUGUUUAUAUUUCGUUGGAGCGCCACGAGGAUGCCGCAUCUUCGUUACACUGAAUUCAAGCAAAAGAUGUUUGGGUGGAAAAGUCUUUCGAGAUAAACGUAGAAACAAUUACCCUGGAGGUAACAUUUUUGAACUACCUCGAGAUACUUCUGGUCAAAGAAUGAAAAUGAAAUAGUUGGAUUAGAACAGAUUGUAGGAUAGACGUGCAAACAAUUACCCUGGAGAUAACAUUUUUGAGCUACCUCGAGAUACUUCUGGUCAGAGAAUGAAAAUAAAAUAGUUGGAUGAGAACAGAUUGUAGGUAUGUUUAAUAAAACAUUAAAAGAAAUAUUUAUUGCACAGUUUGGGUGGGAAAAUCUUUCAGGAUAGAGAUACAAACAAUUACCCUGGAGAUAACAUUUUUGAGCUACCUCGAGAUACUUCUGGUCAGAGAAUGAAAAUAAAAUAGUUGGAUGAGAACAGAUUGUAGGAUAGACGUACAAACAAUUACCCUAGAGGUAACACUUUUGAGCAACCUUGAAAUACUUCUGGUCAAAGAAUGAAAAUAAAAUAGUUGGAUGAGAACAGAUUGUAGG
Molecule: long non-coding RNA, 6105 nt
Organism: Bombus pyrosoma
Lineage: Eukaryota; Metazoa; Arthropoda; Insecta; Hymenoptera; Apidae
Exons: 11
Source: RefSeq, a predicted model, not a curated record